This 238-nucleotide unclassified non-coding RNA is filed under the name uncultured fungus. RNAcentral's name for it is "partial contains 5.8S ribosomal RNA, internal transcribed spacer 2, and large subunit ribosomal RNA". The stretch from base 1 to 52 matches the Rfam family "5.8S ribosomal RNA", at positions 103 to 154 of the family's 154-position model. The record is from RNAcentral. Lineage: Eukaryota; Fungi.
AACGCACAUUGCGCCCUCUGGUAUUCCGGGGGGCAUGCCUGUUCGAGCGUCAUUACAACCCUCAAGCACUGCUUGGUGUUGGGCUCGCCCUGUAGGGCCUGCCUCAAAGUCAGUGGCGGCACCGUCUGACCCUAAGCGUAGUAAUACUCGCCGCUUGUGGACUCAGUGCGUGGCCUGCCAGCCAACCCCCACCAUCAAGGUUGACCUCGGAUCAGGUAGGGAUACCCGCUGAACUUAA